AGUGAACGCUGGCGGUAGGCCUAACACAUGCAAGUCGAACGGCAGCACAGUAAGAGCUUGCUCUUACGGGUGGCGAGUGGCGGACGGGUGAGGAAUACAUCGGAAUCUACUUUUUCGUGGGGGAUAACGUAGGGAAACUUACGCUAAUACCGCAUACGACCUACGGGUGAAAGCAGGGGAUCUUCGGACCUUGCGCGAUUGAAUGAGCCGAUGUCGGAUUAGCUAGUUGGCGGGGUAAAGGCCCACCAAGGCGACGAUCCGUAGCUGGUCUGAGAGGAUGAUCAGCCACACUGGAACGGAAACAAGGUCCAGACUCCAACGGGAGGCGGCGGAGGGGAAUAUUGGACAAGGGGCGCAGGCCUGACCCAGCCAUACCGCGUGGGUGAAAAAGGCCUUCGGGUUGUAAAGCCCGUUUGUUGGGAAAGAAAAGCAGCAGGUUAAAACCCCGCUGUUCUGACGGUACCCAAAGAAUAAGCACCGGCUAACUUCGUG
Molecule: ribosomal RNA, 492 nt
Filed under: uncultured bacterium
Lineage: Bacteria
Description: partial 16S ribosomal RNA
Rfam family: Bacterial small subunit ribosomal RNA
Source: RNAcentral